GAUGAACGCUGGCGGCGUGCCUAAUACAUGCAAGUCGAGCGAACAGACGAGGAGCUUGCUCCUCUGACGUUAGCGGCGGACGGGUGAGUAACACGUGGAUAACCUACCUAUAAGACUGGGAUAACUUCGGGAAACCGGAGCUAAUACCGGAUAAUCUAUUGAACCGCAUGGUUCAAUAGUGAAAGACGGUUUUGCUGUCACUUAUAGAUGGAUCCGCGCCGCAUUAGCUAGUUGGUAAGGUAACGGCUUACCAAGGCAACGAUGCGUAGCCGACCUGAGAGGGUGAUCGGCCACACUGGAACUGAGACACGGUCCAGACGCCGACGGGAGGCAGCAGUAGGGAAUCUUCCGCAAUGGGCGAAAGCCUGACGGAGCAACGCCGCGUGAGUGAUGAAGGUCUUCGGAUCGUAAAACUCUGUUAUUAGGGAAGAACAAAUGUGUAAGUAACUAUGCACGUCUUGACGGUACCUAAUCAGAAAGCCACGGCUAACUACGUG
RNAcentral lists this ribosomal RNA (497 nucleotides) under uncultured bacterium. RNAcentral describes it as "partial 16S ribosomal RNA". It matches the Rfam family "Bacterial small subunit ribosomal RNA", at positions 28 to 507 of the family's 1533-position model. The record is from RNAcentral.